Molecule: ribosomal RNA, 177 nt
Filed under: uncultured bacterium
Lineage: Bacteria
Description: partial 16S ribosomal RNA
Rfam family: Bacterial small subunit ribosomal RNA
Source: RNAcentral
ACUCCUACGGAAGGCAGCAGUGGGGAAUAUUGCACAAUGGGCGCAAGCCUGAUGCAGCGACGCCGCGUGGGGGAUGACGGCCUUCGGGUUGUAAACCUCUUUCAGCAGGGACGAAGGGUGACUGACGGUACCUGUAGAAGAAGCACCGGCCAACUACGUGCCAGCAGCCGCGGUAAU